GGGUUGCGGGCUGUGGCCCCGGGGGCUGAGGGCGGCGCGGGUGCGGCGGAAGCAGGGAAGCCGCGAACCGGCCUUCUGGCUGGCCACAGCGCCCUGCACGGACGAUCAGUGAAUGGAGAUUGCUCAAGUAUUUAUCGAGAACUUGCAGUGGGCUAGGCACGGUUCAGGUCCACAGUUAUUUCACUUCUAAAUAAAUAUGAUUUUUUAAAAGUGGCACGCGGUGGAAUGUAAUUGAGACAGGAUGGAGUUCCUAGAGAAAUUUUACUUCCUCGAUCUGCACUCCACCUUAUUUAAAAUACAGUCUUGGGUCUGUAAUUCCCUUAUCUGACUCUCAAGGAAAUGAAAAAGUAAUGCCUAGAUUGGACUAAACCUCAUUUAACUUCAAGACUGACCUUUCUCAAAGUUGAACCUUCGUCUUGUGAGGAACAGAAAGAUCAAGAACUCUGAAGCACCUCGACUUUCCACCUGUGAAGAUGUGUUCAAAUUUGCAACGUGCGGCCACACCUAUGAGGUCACUCCCUCUGGAGGAAACCAGCUGCCACUUUGUGAGGAUACUCAUGGCCCUGUGGAGGCAUAUCCUCCAUAUGGCUGAGACCUCCUGCCAACAACCAUCACUGACUUGCCAGACAUGAGUGUGCCACCUUGGAAGCAGAUUUUCCAGCCC
This 664-nucleotide long non-coding RNA is filed under the name Pan troglodytes (chimpanzee). Its description in RNAcentral is "lincRNA". Lineage: Eukaryota; Metazoa; Chordata; Mammalia; Primates; Hominidae. The record is from RNAcentral.